RNAcentral lists this ribosomal RNA (496 nucleotides) under Streptococcus agalactiae str. Gottschalk 19247. RNAcentral's name for it is "bacterial SSU rRNA". It matches the Rfam family "Bacterial small subunit ribosomal RNA", at positions 1 to 483 of the family's 1533-position model. Lineage: Bacteria; Bacillati; Bacillota; Bacilli; Lactobacillales; Streptococcaceae. The record is from RNAcentral.
AAUGAGAGUUUGAUCCUGGCUCAGGACGAACGCUGGCGGCGUGCCUAAUACAUGCAAGUAGAACGCUGAGGUUUGGUGUUUACACUAGACUGAUGAGUUGCGAACGGGUGAGUAACGCGUAGGUAACCUGCCUCAUAGCGGGGGAUAACUAUUGGAAACGAUAGCUAAUACCGCAUAAGAGUAAUUAACACAUGUUGGUUAUUUAAAAGGAGCAAUUGCUUCACUGUGAGAUGGACCUGCGUUGUAUUAGCUAGUUGGUGAGGUAAAGGCUCACCAAGGCGACGAUACAUAGCCGACUGAGAGGGUGAUCGGCCACACUGGGACUGAGACACGGCCCAGACUCCUACGGGAGGCAGCAGUAGGGAAUCUUCGGCAAUGGACGGAAGUCUGACCGAGCAACGCCGCGUGAGUGAAGAAGGUUUUCGGAUCGUAAAGCUCUGUUGUUAGAGAAGAACGUUGGUAGGAGUGGAAAAUCUACCAAGUGACGGUAACUAAC